CCUACGGGUGGCAGCAGUGGGGAAUAUUGGACAAUGGGCGAAAGCCUGAUCCAGCCAUGCCGCGUGUGUGAAGAAGGCCUUCGGGUUGUAAAGCACUUUCAGUGGGGAAGAAAGCCUUGGGGCUAAUACCCUCGAGGAAGGACAUCACCCACAGAAGAAGCACCGGCUAACUCCGUGCCAGCAGCCGCGGUAAUACGGAGGGUGCGAGCGUUAAUCGGAAUUACUGGGCGUAAAGCGCGCGUAGGCGGUCUGAUAAGCCGGUUGUGAAAGCCCCGGGCUCAACCUGGGAACGGCAUCCGGAACUGUCAGGGUAGAGUGCAGGAGAGGAAGGUAGAAUUCCCGGUGUAGCGGUGAAAUGCGUAGAGAUCGGGAGGAAUACCAGUGGCGAAGGCGGCCUUCUGGACUGACACUGACGCUGAGGUGCGAAAGCGUGGGUAGCAAACAGGAUUAGAUACCGGGUAGUC
Molecule: ribosomal RNA, 464 nt
Filed under: Vreelandella stevensii
Lineage: Bacteria; Pseudomonadati; Pseudomonadota; Gammaproteobacteria; Oceanospirillales; Halomonadaceae
Description: partial 16S ribosomal RNA
Rfam family: Bacterial small subunit ribosomal RNA
Source: RNAcentral